Molecule: long non-coding RNA, 960 nt
Filed under: Monodelphis domestica (gray short-tailed opossum)
Lineage: Eukaryota; Metazoa; Chordata; Mammalia; Didelphimorphia; Didelphidae
Description: lncRNA (ENSMODG00000044630.1)
Source: RNAcentral
CGUAGCUCUUUUCUCUUUCCUGGGAGGAACACGAGUACGUUCUAAGAGCAAGUUCUGUUUCCCCCUGUAACUUUGUUUACUUAAUGCAAAUAAAAAGUGUACAAUGCUGUUUUUUUUUUUUAAGGUCAGUUUGUCAUGAACAUCAGCAGAGUUUGCAGACUAAAAACAUUUACAGCACCUGAAACAUCUGUUCUCUCCUUUCAUUCCUGAAAUUCACACUAGACCUGGGGCCGGGUUUCCAUGGAGGCAGGAGUUGUUGUCAAAGUUAUUUCUACCACAAACAGACUAUGCCAUUCUCAUGCCUGUAGUGCUGGAGUCUCAUAGUUUUAAGCCUUAUCUUGAGCUUUUCUUCUCUUUUUUCUUUGAUCUUCUGCCAGGGAAUCUUAAAAAGGCGAAAUGAAUUCAGUGGUGUAGUGGUGUUGAUCCAUUUUAACUUUGGAGUUCUAAGCCAAAAUAAUAAGAAAAAAAGAGAAAGAGAGAGAGAAAGAAAGAAAGAAAAGAAAGAAAAAGAAAGACAGAGAGAAAGGAAGGAAGGAAGAGAAAGAUAGAAAAAAGAAAGAAAAAAGAAAAUCAGAGAGAAAGAAAGGGAGGGAGGAAAGAAGAAAGAAAGAAAAGAAAGAAAAAGAAAGACAGAGAGAAAGGAAGGAAGGAAGAAAAAGAUAGAAAAAAGAAAGGAAAAAGAAAGAGAGAGAAAAAGAAAGGGAGGGAGGAAAGAAGAAAGAAAAAAAAGAAAGAAAAAGAAAGAAAGAAAGAAAGAAAGAAAGAAAGAAAGAAAGAAAGAAAGAAAGAAAGAAAGAAAGAAAGAAAGAAAGAAAGAAAGAAAGAAAGAAAGAAAGAAAGAAAGCAACGAAUUCAUUAAUGCAGGUAAGCCUGCAUGUACGGAAGUAAGUAAGGAAGUAAGUAAGGAAGUAAGUAAGUAAGGAAGGACGGAAGGAAGGAAGGAAGGAAGAAAGAAAGAAG